Molecule: non-coding RNA, 520 nt
Organism: Triticum urartu
Lineage: Eukaryota; Viridiplantae; Streptophyta; Magnoliopsida; Poales; Poaceae
Source: RefSeq, a predicted model, not a curated record
GCUGUCUCAAACCAAGCAAGUUUCAGAAUUGCAGGUGUUCUUGCUUCAAUAAAGAAAUACUGAGAGGGAGCUCAGUUUCUCUCAAUACAGAACAUGUACACGCAGGACGACGCGGCGGGCUUGAUCAGCUUAAGCUAUCCAUUCAUUGGCACGGACGAAUGCUACUUGCUAGUUAAUUAAGCAGUAUGUGUUGACAAUAAGCCAGUGGGCAAAGCAGCUAAUGGGCACCUCGCCAAUAUCUUUCUCACCUUCCCAGCUAAUGGCCAUCCUUCGUCUUCGCGGACUCUGCUAUCUAGCCUGCAGUGUUUACGCAAGCAGGGGGAGGGGCUGUAGCAGCUAUUAAUCAGAUCUGAAUUCUGAUCAGUUUACUCCAGUGAUCACCACCGAUUCAAAUGGACCUGUGGAGGGCUCCGAUGAUCUUCUAUUCUCUGUUUUCCUUGUAGCUUGCGCCCAGCCCUGCGAGAUCUUGAAAUUGGCAAUUGGCUCACCAUCAGGGCAAACCGUGUCCUCCAUAUGAUCA